This is a non-coding RNA of Peromyscus maniculatus bairdii (prairie deer mouse), 626 nucleotides long. NCBI's taxonomy places the organism in Eukaryota, Metazoa, Chordata, Mammalia, Rodentia, Cricetidae. The record is from RefSeq and is a predicted model, not a curated record.
CCACCUGCCAGUCCUGAUUGUGUGAGCACUGUUCCCUGACUAAGUCCCAUCCACAGGCCUGUCAGCUGAAGACCGAGACCAUCACCUAUGAGGAAAAGGAACAGCAGCUGGUGAACGACUGUGUGAAGGAGCUGAGGGAUGCCAACGUCCAGAUUGCGAGCAUCUCAGAGGAGCUGGCCAAGAAGACAGAAGAUGCUGCUCGCCAGCAGGAGGAGAUCACGCAUCUGCUGUCGCAAAUUGUGGACUUGCAGAAGAAGGCAAAGGCUUGUGCGGUGGAAAAUGAAGAGCUCGUCCAGCACCUGGGCGCUGCCAAGGACGCCCAGCGGCAACUCACAGCAGAGCUGCGUGAGCUGGAGGACAAGUAUGCAGAGUGCAUGGAAAUGCUUCACGAGGCACAGGAGGAACUGAAGAACCUGCGCAACAAGACGAUGCCCAACACCACGUCCCGGCGCUACCACUCCCUGGGCCUGUUCCCCAUGGACUCCUUGGCUGCAGAAAUUGAGGGAACUAUGCGUAAGGAGCUGCAGCUGGAAGAGCCAGAGUCUCCAGACAUCACGUAUGACUGCAUGGUUUUUGUAUUUCAAGUUCCCACAAACUGACUCAGGACUGGUUCUGUUUAUAACCUA